CUCGGCCGCCCAAACACUUUCCCUUCCACCAAUCCUUCUCCGAUUUGUCGAUUACCGUCACUUUGUAACCAGCUCUGUGUGACAUACAAUUAGAUUUCAAGUGUUAUUGAAAUUUUAAAAGAAACUCAUUGAAUGAUUACUUCAAGUCUAAUUCAUCUCGAUGCCGCGCCUCGAAGUUAUAAAGCACCACAUAGAGAUUGUUGGGAGGUAACACGCGUUUCCCGGGUGGAUUCAUAUGAUUUUGAUUAUUGGUGUGUGGUGAGGGGCAGGGUGAAGUGCUUGCAGACGAAUAAGAUUUCUCAUUUUCAUCGGGCAGUUCCAUACUGGACAUCCUGAUGGCUCCUCUGAUGUGUUUAUGAACGUUGUGGCCCUGGCCUGGACUGCAUGGCGCUGCAAUCGAAUCGUCCAAAUUACAAAUAAGUAUGUAAAUUAAAGUUAAAAUUAUUUAUAGGCCAAUUUUUCAAAUUCGAAUCUACUCACAUAAUCUGUUGAUGCUUCCACUGUCCGAAUGUCUGGGUGGCGUUGAUUCCCUUUGUCCACCGACAUAAUAAUCUCGUGGACGAUGUCGAACGUGUGCAGUACCCUCCGGGGAAUCCAAGCUGAGACUCUUCAUUCUUAGAUUCAGCCUCUCGCGUCUACGUUGUGGACUAUGCGGCGCUUCAUGUUCCAUAAUGAGCGAUUAUAGUAAGUUAGCCUUUGAAAUUAGCUCGUUGCUCGACAUUGACACCAUUUAUUUAAGCAAUGUUAUUUUUUUAUUCUUUUUUUAUUUAUUUUUUUUUUUUUUCUUUACAAGCGAAUAGUUAGAAACAGAGAAAGAGAGAGAGAGAGAGAAAUUAGACAAAGUUUGGUUGCAGGACGAUACAAAUGUGUUGUUAGAAGGAUAAUUACCUACCCUUUUCAAAUUAUGUCGUGUUUUUUUUUUUUGCAAUUCAUCUUUUUUUUUCAGAUAAAAGAAAUUGAAAAGUUUGUAUAAUUUAUAGAUAGAUUAUUUCUUGUUACGAAAUAAUUUGCAGAAAAUGUAAGAAUAAAUGAAACUAAAUCAAAGCAAGAUGGCAAAGCGAAUGAAAAUUAUAAAAGAAGUUUUGCAAUUUUUCGUUAGACUCCGGACUUAUAAUAUAAUAUGAUAUUCAUCUAUAUGCGUGCAAGAAAAUUGCAAAUAUACACAAAUACACACACACAUAUGCAAAUAUGGAUUCGUAUUCUUUCGUUAAUUUUUUAUAAAAAAUAUUAAGUUUGUUGCAAAAAUAUAUCCGUUUGGCGUCAACGUCGAGGUCGAAAAUACACAUACAAGAAAUAAGAACACCAUAUAUAGAUAUACGAUUACACCAUGAAUGCAGACACAAAUAGUGUUUUUUUCAAUCAAGCGACAACUUCGAUCGGUAUAUACAAAUUUUUUUUUCACAGAUAAAAAAAAAAGAUAAUUUAUAGAAAUUAAAAAGAAUAAAGAAAGAAAGAAACAAACAAACAAAAAAUAAUAAUAAAAAGAAAACAAAGGAGAAAAAAAAAGGGACACGACUCGCGUAUCAAGAAAUGAAAGCAGGGGAGAAAAUAUUUAUUUAUAAUAUUUACAUGAUUUCUCCCUUUUUUUUUUUUUUUUUUGACAAAAUUUCGAAUUUUAUUUUCGAUGCAUCGGUUUCACGCAAUACGCAACAACGCUUCAUACUUCAUACUUCAUUUUCCUUCUUCCCUUAUUUUUUCGUGAAGAUUUUUUUCAUAUUCUUAUUUCUUAAAAUUUAGUUUUCCUUACAUUGAAAAGUAAAUGGAUUGCACUAUGAUGAGAAAAAGGAAAACCGGGAAAUUAGAAUAAGCUGAACAGAUUUGUAUAAUCAUACAUUUUUUUUGCAAAUUUUUUUUUUUUUUGAGAUUCGCACUCUCGAAACAUUCCCAAAUUUAAAAAAAAACUAUAUUGAAAUAAUAGUUAUUUAUAAGUUGUACAUUUAUUUGUACGUUUGAUAUAGUAUUAUAGCUUUGAUAUAGUAUUAUCGUAAUGAAUCCUUACCUUUUUUUUUCGUGUAAUUUUUUUUUUUUAACAACCUAUACGAUAAAAAUUCCGCAAAUAAUUUGCGUAGAUAUAAAAUUUAUCUUUUUUAUAAUUUUUAUGAUAAAAGAAAUUUUUUAUGAUAAAAGGGGAUACAACAAAUUGUUGUUUAUCAUUGCAUAUAAUUAAAUCGAUAUCUUUCAAAGAUUCCUUCUUUUCAAUAAUUUCCCAAUGAUAUUAAGAAAAGAAAGAUCGCUACAUCGAAGUUUUUUUUUUUAUUUUUCAAUGUGUAUUUUUCACAAAGAAAAGUAACAGGAUGGGAUUGUGCAAAUAAAUAAUAUUUUUUUUUUGAUUUUUAAACAUCGAUUCCUUUCUUAUGCUAAAAUGAUAUUAAUUGUAAACAUGUUCAGAAGAGAAUCGAAGAAAAUUCAUGGCAAUUCCAAUGUUCAUGCACUGGAAAUUGCAUCGUCAGUUCCUUGAUUCACGUAUUUAAACAACAACAACAACAAUAAUAACAAUAACCUGAAUAUAUACAUAUUCGAGAACAGGAGAAGAAGAAGCAAAAGUCAAUUAAUCUUCCUUUUUUUUCUUUUUUUUUUCUUUUUUUUUUUCGAAAUCAACUACCAAUUCCAUCUUCGAUUCCACGUAUUUUCACUGGCACUUUUCAUCAUCCCCAACCUCCCUUAUUACAUCGUUAUACCAUUCCGAACUUAAACCGAUACUUCCACUCUCACAUCACAUAAUUCACGAUAAACGAUACACGUCUUGAUUAAAAAUUUCUCCACUGAAUUUUCCACCUUCGUCAUUUUGAUUAACAAUUUCACUUGAUCUAUCUUAAUCAACUCCCAACUCCUACGUUUCCUCUUCCGUCUCGUUUCGCCGUCUUCAAAACUUGUCUUCUCAGUCGAUAAAUAAAUAACACUAGACGAAACUUUUUAUUCCCCAAGUAUAUCCCAUCUUUUUCUUCCCCGAGUCGCGGAACGUAGUUGCGUCUUCAUUUCACGGGUCAUCGUUUCUUGUUGGCCGCGCGAUAGAAACGUUCCAUCGGCCUUGGAGACGAGGUCGAGGGCGACUCCUGGCGGCUCAGUACCAACGGCUGGCCGAACGGUCUGGUCGCGGACAUCGAUCCACCGCUGCCCCGUCCUGGUCAAUGGAAUUGCAACGAUUUUUCCCACAUUAUUUUUCCCUCGUAUCAUUUUCUCGCUUUCGCGCUUUUCCACUCGCGAAUUUGCGGAUUUCUCUCUCUCAAUGCAAAACGCUGCUCAAACCUGUUUAUUCUUAUUACUGAAGCUAAGUUCUGCUUGUUAGUAGUAGGCGCACAAUUUCUCUGGGAUUCUCGAUAUCAAGCGUCGGUGGCGCUAUCUGGUGGCGUUCCUUCCGUACUAUCGCGUAUCGCUCGUCUCUUUCUCUCUUCGAUAGUUUGUCUUUUCUUUUCUUUUUUUCUCUAUUCCGCGGCGAACUUGGUUAGUUUUUCCAUUUUUGGCUCGAUUAGCUAUUCUCCCGCUGUUAUAUUUGCGAUUUUGGAGACUCGGGAAAUUGGCGAUAAAUAAAGUAUUGGGAUCAUUGAUUAUUUUAUUAUUAGUUACUUUUCUUUUCCUUUCUUUUUUUUUUCUUUUCGUCAAAUGACCGAGUAAUUUUGGUUAAAAAGACCAAAGUUUUGUGCCAUUAUACGGACUCUCGAGUACCAUUUUUUUUUUCUUUUUUCGAACGAUUUAUUUUUGACCGUAUAAUAAUCCUCUCUAACGUUUUUUUUUUUUCUUGAGAUGUGAACACCGUGUGAGCACCGUUACGUAAAAUAAUAAAAUAACAAAAAAAUUAUCACACGACAUAUAAUAGAUUCAUCGAUUAAUUGGUAGCGAAAGAAAUCUGUUUUGUCACUAUUCUUAUGUAAUAUAAUUUCAAACAUUUUAUCUCGAUCAAAAAAUUUCCGGACGUAAAAGCGGCGCGGUUCAAUGAUCGUGAAAAUACAAAUGGAAAAUAAUUUAUCCAGGUGGGUAGAUAGAUCCAUCAAUCAAUAUUCGCGGAUAAUCUAAUAACAAGCAUCGAGAUGACGGGGAAAAAAAUAUACAUAUACAUAUAUGUGGCGCGCUGGUAAAGAGGAAGAAUGAAGAUGAAGUGGGAGGAGAGAAAUAGAAAGAGAGACAGAGAAAAGAUCGGAAAGACAACAAAGAAAGAAAAAGAGGCAACGGUUACGAGUCAUGUCCCUGAAGAAGACUGAAGUAUACUUAUGUUGAUCAAAAGAAUAAAAAAUAAAAACAGGGUCACCUUGAAACAGAGAGAAUUGCUCAAGAAUUAUUGCAAGAAUCUUUGAUGUGAAAUCUCUCUUCAGAGUUGCAUCCUGUGUGUUUUGUAUUUUUUUUUUUUAAUGUAAUCCUCUUGGAAGAGAUAUAUUACUAGUCGUUGACAGUGACAAAAUUCGAUUCUUUUUUCUUCCUCUACUCGUUUAAAAAAAAAUAAUUUUUCGCUCGGCUUAUUUUUCUCUUUUGAAAAUUUUCUAUUCUUAUUUUUGUUUCUUGGCACAGAACAAAAUUUCAACGACGAAUCGAAUUUAUUUCCAUUGUAACUUUCAAAAAACUUGACCAACACCUCCAUUCUCUCCCUCAUAGAAAUAAACUAUUUCUAAAUGACAAAAAAAAAAAAAAAGAAACUUUCACGAUUUCAUAAUUUAUCAAGAGACAAAUUCGAACAAUUCGAGUUUCAUUUUUCCCUCUUUUGCACGAUGGAAUGCACUCUGAAGAGCACUUUUUUAUCUAACACUUCGCUACUAUUUUCAUUUCAGGAAUUGUGUUUUGAAAUUGUUUUCUUUUUCUUUUUUUUUUCUUUUCCCCCAAAAUAGAGAUUCUGCUUCAAGGUAAAGAGGAAUUGGUGCCUUGUGCCUUACCAGAGGUGGACGAGGAACAAGGGUGGGAGGAGGCCCUCGCUGACGAAGGUGCUGGAGGAUGAUCUGCUGUGGGAGGCGUAGGUGGUGAGUUUGUCGAGUUUCCACGGAUCUCGCCUGCCUGCUUCAGCACCUGGUAUAUGGCGUCCACGUCUGCCCACACGAGAUAGAGAGAUAGCAAAGAGAUGGCACGAGUUGCAUCGCACGAGAGAUGCUUUCUUUCCUUUCUUUUUUUUUUUUUUCCGUUUCUGUUUCGUUCGUUCUCGUUCGUUUCCCGUCAUUUUUUCGUUUCUCUUAUUGUCCUCGAUAAUUGUGUGCGAUUUAAAUCACUAGUUUCUUUUUUUUUUUUCCUCUCUAAAGCCAACAAGUGUCUUUAGAUGAUUCUCCCUUCUAGAAUAUUAUCCAGACGAUCGAAUUGUACGUUUAUAUAUCUUUAUAUAUCUUUGAAAAAAAGGCAAGAAAAGCUUCUCAAAUUUAAAGACACUUGUUCAUAGUUCACCUAUAUAUAUAUAUAUAUAUAUAUGUAUAUAUACUUCAAUUGAGUUUAAUUAAUUUGUACAAGUGUUAGUAGUGUCACUUGUUCAGAGUCACUGAAACUCUCUUUUGUAAUAUGAUAAAUCCUUUGCCGAUUUUCGAUCAUGGUCAAAUUUUUCAAACUGUACACAACAACGUUGCAAAGGCGAAGUGAUAACGAAAUUGUCAUCGAUCGUUUGGAAGGAGGAGGGAGAAGGAUAUGUUCAUGUUUGUGUGACGUCAAUAGAAGUGAAUCAAGUUGAAAGGAUUGAAAAAAGCGCAUAAGAAGCCAUUUAAUGGGGAAAUUAAAUUAAUGAAAUUCCUCUUGUUAAUAGCGUUUAAUCGUCGAAAGAGGCUCAUCCUUCUCACGUGAACGAAGUAUCAGCUUGAUUUAAAACUAUUAUUUACAACUAUGAACAAUGGAAUUGCACAAUCGAGAUCAUCAAGAUCUCGUUUUUUCUUUCUUCUCUAAAUUUUUCACCCUCGAUUUCUCCACACCUGAAAACUUCUAUUUUACAGAUAUUAGAUAAUCUUUAUUGAACCGAUGAUGGGGGUUCAAAUGGGAUCUGGAGGAACAGCCUGGUGAUCGACCUUUCAGCUUCGGUGACUCUGAACGGGGACGGCCAUUAUAUAUUGAAAAAAAAAAAAAAAAAAACAA
Molecule: long non-coding RNA, 6027 nt
Organism: Apis cerana (Asiatic honeybee)
Lineage: Eukaryota; Metazoa; Arthropoda; Insecta; Hymenoptera; Apidae
Source: RefSeq, a predicted model, not a curated record